UGCAAGUCGAACGAUGAUCCGGUGCUUGCACCGGGGAUUAGUGGCGAACGGGUGAGUAACACGUGAGUAACCUGCCCUUAACUCUGGGAUAAGCCUGGGAAACUGGGUCUAAUACCGGAUAUGACUCCUCAUCGCAUGGUGGGGGGUGGAAAGCUUUAUUGUGGUUUUGGAUGGACUCGCGGCCUAUCAGCUUGUUGGUGAGGUAAUGGCUUACCAAGGCGACGACGGGUAGCCGGCCUGAGAGGGUGACCGGCCACACUGGGACUGAGACACGGCCCAGACUCCUACGGGAGGCAGCAGUGGGGAAUAUUGCACAAUGGGCGCAAGCCUGAUGCAGCGACGCCGCGUGAGGGAUGACGGCCUUCGGGUUGUAAACCUCUUUCAGUAGGGAAGAAGCGAAAGUGACGGUACCUGCAGAAGAAGCGCCGGCUAACUACGUGCCAGCAGCCGCGGUAAUACGUAGGGCGCAAGCGUUAUCCGGAAUUAUUGGGCGUAAAGAGCUCGUAGGCGGUUUGUCGCGUCUGCCGUGAAAGUCCGGGGCUCAACUCCGGAUCUGCGGUGGGUACGGGCAGACUAGAGUGAUGUAGGGGAGACUGGAAUUCCUGGUGUAGCGGUGAAAUGCGCAGAUAUCAGGAGGAACACCGAUGGCGAAGGCAGGUCUCUGGGCAUUAACUGACGCUGAGGAGCGAAAGCAUGGGGAGCGAACAGGAUUAGAUA
Molecule: ribosomal RNA, 717 nt
Filed under: Arthrobacter sp. Minfeng4
Lineage: Bacteria; Bacillati; Actinomycetota; Actinomycetes; Micrococcales; Micrococcaceae
Description: bacterial SSU rRNA
Rfam family: Bacterial small subunit ribosomal RNA
Source: RNAcentral